GUGGGGAAUAUUGGACAAUGGGGGGAACCCUGAUCCAGCCAUGCCGCGUGUGUGAAGAAGGCCUUUUGGUUGUAAAGCACUUUAAGCGAGGAGGAGGCUACCGAGAUUAAUACUCUUGGAUAGUGGACGUUACUCGCAGAAUAAGCACCGGCUAACUCUGUGCCAGCAGCCGCGGUAAUACAGAGGGUGCAAGCGUUAAUCGGAUUUACUGGGCGUAAAGCGCGCGUAGGUGGCCAAUUAAGUCAAAUGUGAAAUCCCCGAGCUUAACUUGGGAAUUGCAUUCGAUACCGGUUGGCUAGAGUAUGGGAGAGGAUGGUAGAAUUCCAGGUGUAGCGGUGAAAUGCGUAGAGAUCUGGAGGAAUACCGAUGGCGAAGGCAGCCAUCUGGCCUAAUACUGACACUGAGGUGCGAAAGCAUGGGGAGCAAACAGGAUUAGAAACCCGUGUAGUCC
This 451-nucleotide ribosomal RNA is filed under the name uncultured bacterium. RNAcentral describes it as "partial 16S ribosomal RNA". It matches the Rfam family "Bacterial small subunit ribosomal RNA", at positions 354 to 796 of the family's 1533-position model. The record is from RNAcentral.